ACGAACGCUGGCGGCGUGCUUAACACAUGCAAGUCGAACGGAAAGGCCCCUUUGGGGGUACUCGUGUGGCGAACGGGUGAGUAACACGUGAGUAACCUGCCCUUGACUUCGGGUUAACUUCAGGCAACUGGGGCUAAUACCGGAUAGGAAUCCUUGCUGCAUGGUGGGGGUUGGAAAGCUUCGGCGGUUUUGGAUGGACUCGCGGCUUAUCAGCUUGUUGGUGGGGUAGUGGCUUACCAAGGCUUUGACGGGUAGCCGGCCUGAGAGGGCGACCGGCCACAUUGGGGCUGAGGUGCGGCCCAGGCUCCUACGGGAGGCAACAGUGGGGAAUAUUGCACAAUGGGCGGAAGGCUGGUGCAGCAACGCCGCGGGCGGGAUGACGGCCUUCGGGUUGUAAACCGCUUUCAGCAGGGGCGAAGCUUGUGGUGACGGUACCUGCAGAAGAAGCACCGGCUAACUACGUG
RNAcentral lists this ribosomal RNA (464 nucleotides) under uncultured bacterium. Its description in RNAcentral is "partial 16S ribosomal RNA". It matches the Rfam family "Bacterial small subunit ribosomal RNA", at positions 29 to 507 of the family's 1533-position model. The record is from RNAcentral.